UAGUUCAGUGGUAGAUCACUUGUCUAGCAAGCAAGAGGCCCUGGGUUCAGACCUCAG
RNAcentral lists this transfer RNA (57 nucleotides) under Cavia porcellus (domestic guinea pig). It matches the Rfam family "tRNA", at positions 8 to 63 of the family's 71-position model. From Rfam's summary of the family: Transfer RNA (tRNA) molecules are approximately 80 nucleotides in length. Lineage: Eukaryota; Metazoa; Chordata; Mammalia; Rodentia; Caviidae. The record is from Rfam by way of RNAcentral.